GCCAGCAUGGUGUAGUGGUUUGUGUGGUGUACUAGGACUCUGGAGACCAGGGUUCAAAUCCCUGCUCAGACU
RNAcentral lists this transfer RNA (72 nucleotides) under Phrynosoma platyrhinos (Desert horned lizard). RNAcentral's name for it is "tRNA-OTHER". Lineage: Eukaryota; Metazoa; Chordata; Lepidosauria; Squamata; Phrynosomatidae. The record is from RNAcentral.